Molecule: long non-coding RNA, 591 nt
Filed under: Rattus norvegicus (Norway rat)
Lineage: Eukaryota; Metazoa; Chordata; Mammalia; Rodentia; Muridae
Description: long non-coding RNA NONRATT032367
Source: RNAcentral
GUGAGAGGACAAGGCAUGGUCUCAUCUGGUGGUUCAAAUCCAUCCCUUGCCUUGCUGUUCAGAGAACCCCCAUUGGGUAUUCUACCAUAGAAACAAACUCCUGAGAGAGAUCCCGUGUUGGUGAUGCGGGUCCAUCACCCAAGUUUCCUGGGAGCCUGGGGCUAAAGGAUCACAAGGCCAAGGCCAUCUUGGCUGACUUCAUGAGACGCUGUCUUCAAAUAAAAAGCAAAUGAAGACAGGCGGUGCAGCCUCCUGGCAUAACGCAUACCCAGCAUACAUGAGGCCUUGGGUCCAGUUCCCGGUACUGGGAGCAGAUGGUGAGGAGAGUAAUAUCGAAGACAUUUAAUGCAAUUUUUGGAAGGCUUCCUGAUAUGGAGGCGCUGUGCAAUGAACUUGAGAGUCCAUUCUGCAAUUUUAUCAUCAUCCCAGAUAGAAACCAACCUGGAGGGGAUCAGUGCGGUGGACAUCUUGAGAGACUGCCUCUCACAGAGAAGAUUCUUCAUUGACUGAGCCCUUGCAGACAUGUAAGUGGCUGACUUUUGUAACCAGGUUGGGAAAGAAAUACAAUAGUUUUUUCUUUUAACCAUAUGC